UGAAUUUCGGGAUUAUAGGGCCGGUCGUGCCUUGGUAUGUACUCAUUUCAUUGUGACAUACCUUCUAAAGAACCAUGAUGUCAUUCAUUUGAUGUUAUGGGGAAUUAGGACUGUUACCUUGAAAAAAUUAGAGUGUUUAAAGCAAGCUUACGCUUGAAUACAUUAGCAUGGAAUAAUGAAAUAGGACAUCAGAUUCUAUUUUGUUGGUUUCUAGGAUCGAUGUAAUGAUUAAUAGGGAUAGUUGGGGGCAUUAGUAUUCAAUUGUCAGAGGUGAAAUUCUUGGAUUUAUUGAAGACUAACUACUGCGAAAGCAUUGGCCAAGGAUGUUUUCAUUAAUCAAGAACGAAAGUUAGGGGAUCGAAGACGAUCAGAUACC
Molecule: ribosomal RNA, 376 nt
Filed under: uncultured Glomus
Lineage: Eukaryota; Fungi; Glomeromycota; Glomeromycetes; Glomerales; Glomeraceae
Description: SSU rRNA
Rfam family: Eukaryotic small subunit ribosomal RNA
Source: RNAcentral